This 200-nucleotide ribosomal RNA is filed under the name Clostridioides difficile. RNAcentral describes it as "partial 23S ribosomal RNA". It matches the Rfam family "Bacterial large subunit ribosomal RNA", at positions 2726 to 2925 of the family's 2925-position model. The record is from RNAcentral. Lineage: Bacteria; Bacillati; Bacillota; Clostridia; Peptostreptococcales; Peptostreptococcaceae.
CUGCCAAGGGCAUGGCUGGGUAGCUAUGUACGGAAUGGAUAAGCGCUGAAAGCAUCUAAGCGCGAAGCCAACUUCAAGAUAAGAUUUCCCACCGCAAGGGUAAGACCCCAGAAAGACUAUCUGGUUGAUAGGUCGAAGGUGUAAGCUAUGUACGGAAUGGAUAAGCGCUGAAAGCAUCUAAGCGCGAAGCCAACUUCAAG